This 335-nucleotide unclassified non-coding RNA is filed under the name soil metagenome. RNAcentral describes it as "partial contains 5.8S ribosomal RNA, internal transcribed spacer 2, and large subunit ribosomal RNA". The stretch from base 1 to 120 matches the Rfam family "5.8S ribosomal RNA", at positions 35 to 154 of the family's 154-position model. The record is from RNAcentral.
GAUGAAGAACGAAGCGAAAUGCGAUAAGUAAUGUGAAUUGCAGAAUUCAGUGAAUCAUCGAAUCUUUGAACGCACAUUGCGCCCGCCAGUAUUCUGGCGGGCAUGCCUGUUCGAGCGUCAUUUCAACCAUCAAGCCCCCGGCUUGUGUUGGGGACCUGCGGCUGCCGCAGGCCCUGAAAACCAGUGGCGGGCUCGCUAGUCACUCCGAGCGUAGUAAUACAUCUCGCUCAGGGCGUGCUGCGGGUUCCGGCCGUUAAAAAGCCUUAUUUACCCAAGGUUGACCUCGGAUCAGGUAGGAAGACCCGCUGAACUUAAGCAUAUCAAUAAGCGGAGGA